Molecule: ribosomal RNA, 481 nt
Filed under: uncultured bacterium
Lineage: Bacteria
Description: bacterial SSU rRNA
Rfam family: Bacterial small subunit ribosomal RNA
Source: RNAcentral
CUACGUGCCAGCAGCCGCGGUAAUACGGAAGGUCCAGGCGUUAUCCGGAUUUAUUGGGUUUAAAGGGAGCGUAGGCCGUGGAUUAAGCGUGUUGUGAAAUGUAGACGCUCAACGUCUGAAUUGCAGCGCGAACUGGUUCACUUGAGUAUGCACAACGUAGGCGGAAUUCGUCGUGUAGCGGUGAAAUGCUUAGAUAUGACGAAGAACUCCGAUUGCGAAGGCAGCUUACGGGAGCACAACUGACGCUGAAGCUCGAAGGUGCGGGUAUCGAACAGGAUUAGAUACCCUGGUAGUCCGCACAGUAAACGAUGGAUGCCCGCUGUUGGUACCUGGUAUCAGCGGCUAAGCGAAAGCAUUAAGCAUCCCACCUGGGGAGUACGCCGGCAACGGUGAAACUCAAAGGAAUUGACGGGGGCCCGCACAAGCGGAGGAACAUGUGGUUUAAUUCGAUGAUACGCGAGGAACCUUACCCGGGCUUGAA